Molecule: ribosomal RNA, 406 nt
Filed under: uncultured eukaryote
Lineage: Eukaryota
Description: SSU rRNA
Rfam family: Eukaryotic small subunit ribosomal RNA
Source: RNAcentral
UGAAACUGCGAAUGGCUCAUUAUAUCAGUAAUAGUUUAUUUGAUGGUCCCUUACUACUUGGAUAACCGUAGUAAUUCUAGAGCUAAUACAUGCACUACAGUCCCACCUACCUCGGCGGACGGGAUGUCUUUAUUAGAUCGAAGCCAAUGCGGCGCAAGCCGGUAUUGUGGUGAUUCAUGAUAACUUUGCGAAUCGCAUGCCCUCUGGGCGGCGAUGUUUCAUUCAAGUUUCUGCCCUAUCAGCUUUGGAUGGUAGGGUAUUGGCCUACCAUGGCUUUAACGGGUAACGGAGAAUUGGGGUUCGAUUCCGGAGAGGGAGCCUGAGAGAUGGCUACCACAUCCAAGGAAGGCAGCAGGCGCGUAAAUUACCCAAUCCCGACUCGGGGAGGUAGUGACAAGAAAUAACA